Piliocolobus tephrosceles (Ugandan red Colobus) is the source of this 1821-nucleotide long non-coding RNA. The record is from Ensembl. NCBI's taxonomy places the organism in Eukaryota, Metazoa, Chordata, Mammalia, Primates, Cercopithecidae.
AUGAAAGAAGGGAAUUGUACUUUUUUGUUCAAAGAAAAAAAUAAAGCUUUGUAUAAACAAAGCAAUAAAAUAAUUAAAAAAUGUAAAUACAAUGAUGAUGCGUUUUUAUAUUUUUUGUUGGAAAAAAAAAUAUUUUUAUUUCAAAAAGUUUUUAUACAGUUGUUUGUUAGGGCUAUUUUGAAUAUAGGUAAAUAUUUUAAAACAUAUCCUGAAUUAUUUAAAAAAUAUAAAACAAGUUUUAACAUAACACGAAUAUGGAAAGAAUAUUUAAUAAUAACUUUUAAUUCUUUAAAUGUGUAUAUACAGAAUAAAAAUAUGUUAUACUUAUAUUUGUUUUAUUAUAAUACAUUUUGUGAAAAUGACAAACAGUACACUAACGAACAGACUUUUUUAUACAAACAAUAUAUUUUAUUAAAAAAAAAACAUACAAACAAAACAAUAUAUUUUUUAAAAAAUCAUGACAAAAGUUACACUAAUAUUGAUAACGGAAACAAUAACAACAGAUAUAACAACAAAAACGAUAACAUCGCCGAAGCAGUAAAAAUAUGCUUAAAUUUUAAUAAUGUUGAAAAAAAUGAUAACACUACAUUCAUUUCCUAUUACGGUAAAAAAGAUUAUUACUAUAUUGCGAAUAACCGCAUGUGUGUGUUAUUAUAUGAACAUAUAUGGGAAGCAGAAAUAUUUAAACUGAUGGUAGUUAUAAUAAAAAGAAUAAUAAAUAUAAUAAUCUUAAUAACAAUAACAGUAAAAGUAAUAUUAAAAAUAUUAAUAAAAAAAAUUUUCAGUUUUUAUAUUACUCGUUUGAGUACAUUGUUAUGUGAAGUAGCAUUAGUUGACAAUAAUAUAGUAGACAAAAAGACAUGUACAGGUAUUUAUAAAAAAAAAUUAGAAAAUUAUCAUAAAAAAUAUAUGAACAGUCAUAAUUUAUUUUGUAUAACGUAUAUAAAACGAAACAAAAUGGAUUAUAAAAAAAGUAGUGGAAAUGGAAAUGGUAAUAUUCGAAAAUUAUAUGAUGUACAUAUAUGUUAUUACAAAAUAUCGGUAAAUAAAUUAUUUCAAUGCUUGCAGAUUAUGAACAAACCAAAAUGUGUUAUGUAUGAUGCGUAUUAUGAGCAUUAUAAUAAUUUAACUAGCUUAAAUAAAAUAAGUGUUAAAUAUGUAAAUAAUAACAAGAAAUGUACUUAUUUGUUAAAAAUAUGUAAUAAGUAUGUAAGUAGUUAUAGUAGUGGUAGAGGUAGUUAUAGUAGUAGUAGUAGCUGUAGUAGCUGUAGUGGCUGUAGUGGCUGUAGUAGCUGUAGUAGCUGUAGUGGCUGUAGUGGUAGUUAUAUUUUACACGAUAGGUAUGAGCAUGUUGGUCGUAGUGGUAAUGUAAAAAAGAACAAUAUAUUAUUAACAGAUAAGUUAUAUUUGUACAACUAUAAACAGUCAAAUUUUCUAUUAAACGUUCGGGUAAUAAAGAAAACUUAUUCACUGCGAUUUUUACCAAUUUUUAAUACAUUUUUAUAUGAACCGAGUAUAAAAUGUUUAAUUCCUAUUAGUUUGUUCCCCAAUUUAGUUAUAUACAUUUUUGAUAUAAUAAGAUUAUAUAGUAAUGACAAUGAUAGUAAUGGAGGUGAUAGUAAUGGAGGUGAUAGUAUAUGCAUUGAUUGUAUAUGCGACAAUAUUAACGAUAAUAUAAUGAUGGUAACAGUAUUUAACCCUAACACUUCGUCAUAUAUUAACUCAUAUUUUGUUAUUAAUAUUUUAUUUACUACUACUACUAUAUUUGAUAAUUUUGAUAAUAAAAUAAAUUAUUUUAUAGAAAAAAAAAAAAAUAAAUGA